This 67-nucleotide transfer RNA is filed under the name Aconurella diplachnis. Its description in RNAcentral is "tRNA-Pro". Lineage: Eukaryota; Metazoa; Arthropoda; Insecta; Hemiptera; Cicadellidae. The record is from RNAcentral.
CAACAAAUAAUUUAAGUAAAAUAUUAGUCUUGGGUAUUAAAUACGUGAUAUUAUUUCACUUUGUUGA